This is a long non-coding RNA of Dreissena polymorpha, 2703 nucleotides long. RefSeq lists it as uncharacterized. The transcript has 3 exons. Lineage: Eukaryota; Metazoa; Mollusca; Bivalvia; Myida; Dreissenidae. The record is from RefSeq and is a predicted model, not a curated record.
CGCGAAAACAUUCAAAACAAAAACACUCGAAACGAAAAUAAAAUAUUCACCACCACCUGGUUUGCCAACAUCGUCUUUACAAGGAAUGUCUAGCAGUGCAUGACAGAGGCCGGUCACUCCCAUUAAGUCCAGCUGAAGAGCCUUCCCAGUUCAUAGGACAAAAUGCAGUUACACAGAUUUUAACGGUGUUGGAAACAAUGAGAGACGAGAACAGGGAAAUGAAGUGGAUGCUGCAGCGGCUCUUGGCUAGGUCAGCUUCUGAUGACGAGCCAAUGCAACUGCCAGAGAACAUCAGUCUACCAAUUGGAACACUUGAGCAAAUGGAUGAGUUUGAAGAGCAUCUUGGUGAUGAAGCUACGAUCCAUCUUUUCUAGGACUGCUGCAUAGUUCAAGCUUUUUUAUCAAAUAUAUUAAGCAAUGUUGUAAAUGUAUUUGACAGUUCUUUCUCCAUUGAUCCUAAACCAUUCCUUUAAGGCUCAUCUUCUAAGAAAGCAUACAAUCUUUUUUAUCUGGAAAUGAAAUGGUAUAUAUUCCUUUGCAAAAGAAGAAACAGCAUUCCAGUUUUUGAAGGUUUUAAAAGACAAAUAUAUAUAUAUAUCAUGUGCAAUUAUGAAAUACACUAGAAUGUAUGAAGAUAUCAAAGAUAAUAAUAUGGACUUGUUCUCGAACAAGGAUUUGCCAUUUAUUUGAGUUUUGGAUUUUUUUGCAGGGUUUUUAAUUUCUAGUUUUUAUACGCCCGUAUAAAAUACGGGACGUAUUAUGUGAAACCCCUUGGCGGGCGGCGGGCGGAAGGCAUCACUUUGUCCGGACUCUAAUUCAAAUUGUAUUCAUCCGAUCUUCACCAAACUUGGUCAGCAGUUGCAUCUAGUUGAUAUCUAGGCCAAGUUCGAAUAUGGGUCAUGCCGGGUCAAAAACUAGGUCAUAGGGUCAAUAAGUGCAUUUUCAAAGGGGCCACUUUGUCCGGACUCUAUUUCAAAUUGUAUUCAUCCGAUCUUCACCAAACUUGGUCAGCAGUUGCAUCUAGUUGAUAUAUAGGCCAAGUUCGAAUAUGGGUCAUGCCGGGUCAAAAACUAGGUCAUAGGGUCAAUUAGUGCAUUUUCAACGGCGCCACUUUGUCCGGACUCUAAUUCAAAUUGUAUUCAUCCGAUCUUCACCAAACUUGGUCAGUAGUUGCAUCUAGUUGAUAUCUAGGUCAAGUCCGAAUAUGGGUCAUGCUGGGUUAAAAACUAGGUCACUGGGUCACUUAGUGCAUUUCAAGGAUUUAGCAUGGUGUCCGCUCUCUAAUUGAAGUAUUUUUCAUCCGAUCUUCACCGAAUUCGGUCAGAAGUUGUGUCUAAAUGAUAUCUAGGUCAAGAACAAAUAUGUGUCUUGGCGGGUCAAAAAAUAGGUCACAAGGUCACUUAAUGAAUUUCAAGCGUUUAGCAUGGUGUCCGCUCUCUACUUGAAGUAGUUUUCAUCUGAUCUUCACUGAAUUUGGUCAGAAGUUGAGUCUAAAUGAUAUCUAGGUCAAGAACAAAUAUGGGUCUUGCUGGGUCAAAAACUAGGUCACUUAAUGCAUUUCAAGCAUUUAGCAUGGUGUCCGCUCUCUAAUUGAAGUAGUUUUCAUCCUGUCUUUACCAAAUUUGGUCAGAAGUUGUGUCUAAUUGAUAUCUAGGUCAAGUUCAAAUAUGUGCUGCUUAAUUUUCAAAAAUAUAUCAUUUUGCCACUCAAAUGGUAAAGCUAUCAAGUUGUCCAAAACCUUCAAACGGGCGUAUCUUGUGACAGUUUGGCACUCUUGUUAUUUAAUGCUUUCCGGUGGUUUAUAGAGAAAUAUCAGUGAAUUAAAACUGGUUCAAACAGUGAAAAUUAUCAGUGAGAAUUAUCGAUAAUUUUCAUUGUUUACUGUGAAAUGAUGUCAUUUUUUGACGAAAUGACGUCAUUAUCUCAGCAAAAUUCUUUAGUUAAACUCUUUAACAAUGUAUAUAAACGGUGAAAAAUGCAUUAAAUAAAAAGAAAAUUUGUUGGAUUUGGAGGAUUAUCGAUUUUAAUUAACUCGUGUUCAUAGAGAAUAUAUAUUUUCUAUGAUCAAUCGUGAAUUAAAAUCGAUAAUCCACCGGAUCCAACAAAUAUCCUCUAUAUAAAAUAUUUUGUUUAGUCUUGCAAGUAUGUUUUCUACAAAUGUUCUUUGAGUACAUGGUGUAUUAUUUGUAUUGGUUAAAGAUUUUAUAUGCUUUUGAGUAAUGUGUAGUACAUCAGGAAAAUACUUGAAGGUAUUCUGUAUAUGUAAUAUAUAUUUAUUAUCAAAAUAAUAGAAGUCCUUAAUUCUAUAGUUGUAUAACUGGUCAACAUAUAUAAUGUUAUAGAAAAACGUCUUAUUGUUUGAAGUUAUGUCUUUAUUGUUCCAUGAAAUAGUUUUACUGUUGGUUUGGGUUUAUAGAUUAUGAGUUUCAUUACUCCAUGCGGAUAGAACAUUAGAUAGAAACAUGUGUUUGUAAGCAACUUCAUGUAAAAGCGGAUAGAACAUUAGAUAGAAUCAUGUUUUCGUUAGCAACUUCAUGUAAAAUAUUUUUGCUGAUGUUACAUUCAAAACGUUAGGAAUCACCAUAUUAUUUUAGAAUUCUCUGGUAGAAUAGUUAACUUGGGAUCCUCCUGCUAUGUAUGUAUGUAUCCAUGUAUAUGUGUGUAAUACUUUAUGUGAAUAAAAGUUGAGAGUACUUUAAUAAA